UACGUAGGGGGCGAGCGUUGUCCGAAGUUACUGGGCGUAAAGAGCGCGUAGGCGGGUCUUUAAGUGAGGGGUGAAAGGUUCGGGCUCAACCCGGACACUGCCUUUCAUACUGGAGACCUUGAGUGCGGGAGGGGCGAGUGGAAUGGUCGGUGUAGCGGUGAAAUGCGUAGAUAUCGAUCGGAACACCCAUGGCGAAGGCAGCUCGCUGGCCUGCAACUGACGCUGAGGCGCGAAAGCGUGGGGAGCGAACAGG
Molecule: ribosomal RNA, 253 nt
Filed under: uncultured bacterium
Lineage: Bacteria
Description: partial 16S ribosomal RNA
Rfam family: Bacterial small subunit ribosomal RNA
Source: RNAcentral